This 518-nucleotide ribosomal RNA is filed under the name uncultured bacterium. Its description in RNAcentral is "bacterial SSU rRNA". It matches the Rfam family "Bacterial small subunit ribosomal RNA", at positions 29 to 518 of the family's 1533-position model. The record is from RNAcentral.
ACGAACGCUGGCGGCGUGCCUAAUACAUGCAAGUCGAACGGUCUUUCUAUGGAAGCUUGCUUCCACUGAGAAGAUAGUGGCGAACGGGUGAGUAACACGUGGGUAACCCUGCCCAUAAGAGGGGGAUAACAUCCGGAAACGGGUGCUAAUACCGCAUAGUUUUCUUGAUCGCAUGAUCGGGAAAGGAAAGACGGCCUUUGUGCUGUCGCUUAUGGAUGGACCCGCGGCGUAUUAGUUAGUUGGUGAGGUAACGGCUCACCAAGACGAUGAUACGUAGCCGACCUGAGAGGGUGAUCGGCCACAUUGGGACUGAGACACGGCCCAAACUCCUACGGGAGGCAGCAGUAGGGAAUCUUCCGCAAUGGACGAAAGUCUGACGGAGCAACGCCGCGUGAGUGAAGAAGGUUUUCGGAUUCCGUAAAACUCUGUUGUCAGAGAAGAACAAGUUGGAGAGUGACUGCUCCAGCCUUGACGGUAUCUGACCAGAAAGCCACGGCUAACUACGUGCCAGCAGCUGC